GGGCCAGGGCGCAGUGGAUAACGCGUCUGACUACAGAUCAGAAGAGUCUAGGUUCGGCCCCUGGCUGGCCUG
Molecule: transfer RNA, 72 nt
Filed under: Loxodonta africana (African savanna elephant)
Lineage: Eukaryota; Metazoa; Chordata; Mammalia; Proboscidea; Elephantidae
Rfam family: tRNA
About the family: Transfer RNA (tRNA) molecules are approximately 80 nucleotides in length. Their secondary structure includes four short double-helical elements and three loops (D, anti-codon, and T loops). Further hydrogen bonds mediate the characteristic L-shaped molecular structure. tRNAs have two regions of fundamental functional importance: the anti-codon, which is responsible for specific mRNA codon recognition, and the 3' end, to which the tRNAs corresponding amino acid is attached (by aminoacyl-tRNA synthetases). tRNAs cope with the degeneracy of the genetic code in two manners: having more than one tRNA (with a specific anti-codon) for a particular amino acid; and 'wobble' base-pairing, i.e. permitting non-standard base-pairing at the 3rd anti-codon position.
Source: Rfam by way of RNAcentral